AACGAACGCUGGCGGCAUGCCUAACACAUGCAAGUCGAACGAGACCUUCGGGUCUAGUGGCGCACGGGUGCGUAACGCGUGGGAACCUGCCCUUAGGUUCGGAAUAACUCCCCGAAAGGGGUUCUAAUACCGGAUAAUGUCUUCGGACCAAAGAUUUAUCGCCUUUGGAUGGGCCCGCGUUGGAUUAGCUAGUUGGUAGGGUAAAAGCCUACCAAGGCGACGAUCCAUAGCUGGUCUGAGAGGAUGAUCAGCCACACUGGGACUGAGACACGGCCCAGACUCCUACGGGAGGCAGCAGUGGGGAAUAUUGGACAAUGGGCGAAAGCCUGAUCCAGCAAUGCCGCGUGAGUGAUGAAGGCCUUAGGGUUAUAAAGCUCUUUUACCCGGGAUGAUAAUGACAGUACCGGGAGAAUAAGCUCCGGCUAACUCCGUG
This 433-nucleotide ribosomal RNA is filed under the name uncultured bacterium. RNAcentral's name for it is "partial 16S ribosomal RNA". It matches the Rfam family "Bacterial small subunit ribosomal RNA", at positions 29 to 507 of the family's 1533-position model. The record is from RNAcentral.